RNAcentral lists this non-coding RNA (3000 nucleotides) under Pongo abelii (Sumatran orangutan). The record is from RNAcentral. Lineage: Eukaryota; Metazoa; Chordata; Mammalia; Primates; Hominidae.
UCAUGAGUGCUCACCUGGUAGGGGAAAGACCCUGAAUGUCCAGACCUUUCCCCUGACCGGCCAUGUGCAGACUCUUGGUGGCUCUGCUGUCUAGGCCCAGCAUGUCCAUGGCCUGACACUGAUUGUGUGUCUGAGUCUUCUGAAUGUCCUUCACUGUCACUGGCCUGAUUACUGCUGGACCCCCGGUGUCCACUGUCUCUGAAUGCAGAUGAACCUUGUCCGUGCCCAAUGCCUGAGUGUCUGGAGUUGUCUGCUGACUGCUGGUGGUGGGAUCCGUGUCUUUCUCCUGGACUUGAUUUUGCCUGUUCAUGUGAUGACGUAGCCUGUCCACGGGAGAAAGUCUCUGCGUGAUGAGUUCCUGAUUGUUUGGAGCUGUCUGCAGAGUGCCCGUGACUGGCUCUGUCUUCUUGAUGGUACCCGGGGUGUCUGGAGCCAUCUGUUGACUGCUCCUGAGCAGAUCCAUGAUGGUUUCUGGAAGCAGACCCAGACCACCUCUGAGAGUCUUCUGAGUGUCCCUCACUGCCACUGUCCUGGCUAACACUGGAUCCCCUACGCUUCCUUGUCCUGGACUCCUGCAGUGAUUCAUAGUAUGCUUGAGCCAACUUGAAUACCAUCAGAAGAAACUCAGUGAAGUCAAUUUUCUUGUUGUGGUCUAUAUCCAAGUGAUCCAUGAAGAUGUCAACCGUAUCUGGGUCAUCUGGAUUCUGUACAGAGGGAAGUCACAGAGGGAGACUGCAUCAGACAGAAUCACAUUAUCAGCCAAUUAAUUCAAAGUUAAUUUAAUGAAUUUGAUCUUUUGAGUAUUAAAAAGUGGGACAGAAUCUUUUUGUUUUUUUAAGACUUCUUCAUCUCAUCCUUAUUCAGGUGUUAUAUGUGAACAAAGAUGUAAAGACUAGUAAGAUGUCAAGAUUUGAUGGGGAUAUCCAGACAACUUGGAGCCAAGUCCCCACAGCUGGAUCAGACAACUUUGGUGACAUCUCACAGUGUGGAUUAUCAAGCCAAUGUAUCAGCCUGGAGCCUAGGUUUUUUGCCUUUAGCUUUGCUCAGGAUGACUUCUGCUCUUCUAUGGCAAUACUUGAGAAGCUACAGCUUUGAUUAGACAAGAGGCUAUUUCAAUAACUUUCUGCUGAUAAGAAGACCACCGACCAUGGACGGAUUCUGGCCAGUUUACAAAGGCUGCAUACCAUUGGGCAGGGCACCCCACUAUGGUAAACACUAAUAAUGAUAUUGCUCCUGAUUUUGUUUCUGAAGGGAAUGCCUCUAAGAUUUCUUCAUUAAUUAUGAGAGACUGGGUCUCACUCUGUUGCCCAAGCUGGAGUGCAGUGGCAUAGUCAUAGCUCACUGCAGCCUUCAACUUCUGGGCUCAAGUGAUUCUCCCAUCUCAGCCUGCCAAGUAGCUGGGACAACAGGUGAAAUUGAAGGCCAGCUUUUGGAACUCAGCCUUCAAAAGAACUUAAAAUUUCCAUUAUGUAGAGUCCUUGAGGAAACUGGAUCCACUAGCUACACUGGCUGAGAAUGCCCUCACCCCAGGAUUUCAUUUUUAUUUGACCACAUCAUUGUUGGUAUCUUAAGAUCAAUGUACUGGAGCAGUGAGGUCUCACAAAGAGGAUAACUGUUGACACACCCAGGCUUUCAGAAUGCACUGUGGGGCUUUAGUGACUUGUCCAGGUUCAGCUGAAAUGUGUCAUCUGGGACCUACUAAUGUUUGUUGAACUUUACUGGAUUUCAGAAGCUGGGUCUCAGAAGCUCAGAUGUUCCUUGGAGCUACGAUAUCAACAGCCUGUGAUGACGGAGAGAAGGUUGCUCCAUGAUGGAUUUGGAAACUUACUGGCUAGCUAAACCUGACUGAAUGGGAAGGAAUGUGGAUAGCUUUGGAACUCUAGUUUCACUAGAUGAGCUGGAAUUUGUAUUUUGACAAAUUGCACGUUAUGAUUAUUAAGUAAUGCAACUGAUUUUUUUUCCCUUAAAACAAACAAUCUAGAAUCUGUGUAAUCAAAAUAAUUUCUCUAAAAGGCUGCAAGUAUAUGCUUAAAAUUUUGGGGCAUUCAGAGCAUUUGGAACAUUACAUUCUUUUGAAUGUCAAUUGGUAGAUGAAAAUACCAGCUUUUAAGUCAUACAUUUGAUUUUUUGAAACAUUAAUAUGCAUUUAGAGUUUGUAAGUCAAGUGAGUAAUUGAUAAGGCAAAAAAAGGGGGAGUUCAUUGUUGAGUAUGAAUUUAAAGUAACCAGACUUCCUUUUUUCCAGUGGCUCUCAGUAAUUUACUUCAGCAGGCAUUUUUUUUUUUUGAGGAUGUUCUAUGAUAUGAUGACCCUUCUUGUAGGAAUGUGCUUCCAGUGGUGAGGCAGUCUGAGAAUGUGGGAAGCAGUAUAAUGAAGCCAGACCAAGAUUGAAGCUUGGCGUGGGAUUUGAGCAUGAGGAAAACUGUUGAAGGGUUAUGUAUACAUCUCACACACACACACACACACACACACACACACACACACUCUCUCUCUCUCUCUUCCGUACUCCCACAACAAUGUAUAGUAUUUACUAUACCUGGUGACAGAUAAUUACUAUACAUUGUCGAAGAUCUAUAACAUGGAAUGCCUAGUGCUAAGUGCAGUGUCCUUAGUGAAAUUAUAUUGGUUUGGAAUUAUUUAUGAGUUUGGGAUUAUUUGUCACUACGCUUAAAUGAUCGCGACACUCACCUAUUUGAAAAGAUAUUGAGGAUUUGCCAUUUGAUAUUGACCAGGGUGUAUUGUGCACAAAUAUUGUGAAUAUACAUCUCUCUGUCCUUAAAUCACUGUAAGUUUUAACUGGAAUAGAUUUGCUCCACAAUACUCAGUAGGGCUGAUAUUUCAUGCCUCAUGGAUGAGAAAAGAAUUGGCAAAAAUUAUAUCUCGGGCUGCCUCACACAUCUUUUAACAGGAUAAGGGAAAAAUAAAUAUAAGACCUAUGAGUUAUGGCAUCAGGCUUGAACUUUAAUUUAUGAAUUAAACCAAAAAUAUUAUUGAUUAUUGC